RNAcentral lists this ribosomal RNA (428 nucleotides) under uncultured bacterium. Its description in RNAcentral is "partial 16S ribosomal RNA". It matches the Rfam family "Bacterial small subunit ribosomal RNA", at positions 354 to 796 of the family's 1533-position model. The record is from RNAcentral.
GUAGGGAAUAUUGCGCAAUGGGGGAAACCCUGACGCAGCGACGCCGCGUGAGUGAUGAAGGCCUUCGGGUCGUAAAGCUCUGUUGCAGGGGAAUAAAAAAAUGAAGGUACCCUGUGAGGAAGGAUCGGCUAACUUCGUGCCAGCAGCCGCGGUAAGACGAGGGAUCCUAGCGUUGCUCGGAAUCAUUGGGCGUAAAGAGGGCGUAGGUGGCUUGGUAAGUCAGGUGUGAAAGCCCAGGGCUCAACCCUGGAAGUGCAUUUGAUACUGCUGAGCUUGAGUGUCGGAGAGGUUACCGGAAUACCUGGUGUAGUGGUGAAAUACGUAGAUAUCAGGUGGAACACCGGAGGCGAAGGCGGGUAACAGGACGAACACUGACACUGAGGCCCGAAAGCGUGGGGAUCAAACAGGAUUAGAAACCCCGGUAGUCC